AGAAUUUGAUCUUGGUUCAGAUUGAACGCUGGCGGCGUGGAUGAGGCAUGCAAGUCGAACGGAAUAAUGGCUUCGGCUAUUAUUUAGUGGCGGAAGGGUUAGUAAUACAUAGAUAAUUUGUUCUUAACUUGGGAAUAACGGUUGGAAACGGCCGCUAAUACCGAAUGUGGUGUGUUUAGGCAUCUAAAUUACAUUAAAGAAGGGGAUCUUCGGACCUUUCGGUUAAGAGAAAGUCUGUGGGAUAUCAGCUUGUUGGUGGGGUAAUGGCCUACCAAGGCUAUGACGUCUAGGCGGAUUGAGAGAUUGACCGCCAACACUGGGACUGAGACACUGCCCAGACUCCUACGGGAGGCUGCAGUCGAGAAUCUUUCGCAAUGGACGAAAGUCUGACGAAGCGACGCCGCGUGUGUGAUGAAGGCUCUAGGGUUGUAAAGCACUUUCGCCUGGGAAUAAGAGAGAUUGGCUAAUAUCCAAUUGAUUUGAGCGUACCAGGUAAAGAAGCACCGGCUAACUCCGUGCCAGCAGCUGCGGUAAUACGGAGGGUGCUAGCGUUAAUCGGAUUUAUUGGGCGUAAAGGGCGUGUAGGCGGAAAGGAAAGUUAGAUGUCAAAUCUUGAGGCUCAACCUCAAGUCGGCAUCUAAUACUAUCUUUCUAGAGGUUGGAUGGAGAAAAGGGAAUUCCACGUGUAGCGGUGAAAUGCGUAGAUAUGUGGAAGAACACCAGUGGCGAAGGCG
RNAcentral lists this ribosomal RNA (734 nucleotides) under uncultured Chlamydia sp. RNAcentral describes it as "bacterial SSU rRNA". It matches the Rfam family "Bacterial small subunit ribosomal RNA", at positions 8 to 723 of the family's 1533-position model. Lineage: Bacteria; Pseudomonadati; Chlamydiota; Chlamydiia; Chlamydiales; Chlamydiaceae. The record is from RNAcentral.